Tachysurus fulvidraco (yellow catfish) is the source of this 1102-nucleotide long non-coding RNA. RefSeq lists it as uncharacterized. The record is from RefSeq and is a predicted model, not a curated record. The transcript is spliced from 2 exons. NCBI's taxonomy places the organism in Eukaryota, Metazoa, Chordata, Actinopteri, Siluriformes, Bagridae.
UGGCACAAUUUAUUUUUUGGAUCUCAGGCUUUCUUAUACAUUAACACAGCAAAGUAACUGAGAGCCUGUUUAGAUCUUCCCAUAAUCAGGGAAAUUGAGCUUGUGUGUGAGAUAAGUGUCUUGUUUUAAAUGAAUGAAUUUCUUAAGCAGCAGCCCUGACUUGGGCAGGCUACAUUCAUAAAUAAAAAGCCUUAUUUAUUCCUUUUCUAAUUUUUCCAACAAAAGUUAUGGCUUUUAGCCCACCACCACUACCAAAACGCAUCACAGAGCCUACCACAUGUCACUGCAGCAAUCCGAGAGCUCACCAAUCUGGCUGCAACUCAAAGAAUCAUCCUGACUCCUUCCCAGCUACAGACCAUCAAGCAAAGUUUCUGCUGUGUUGUUUGUAUGAAGUUCAUCGAGGAGCCAGUCUUUACACAGUGUUGCCGAAGCAUUAUUGGCUGCAAAACAUGUGUGGAACAGUGGCAGGAGACCUCUGUGUACUGUGCAAAAUGUAGAGGGAACACCACAGGCAACAACAUAUUUGAGGUUAAUGGUUUGUCAGAAGCAUUUUCUGUUCUGAGAUCUCUUUUUGAAGAGGAGUAGCAUUUUGCACUUUUAUACUCACAAAUAGGCAUGUUGUAUUUGACUUUGUUUUAUUGAUUCAAAAAUUGAGUUGUAAUGUUAAUUUAUUCAUAUGUUUAGGCUGGUUGAUGUGAUUGGUGUUCAUUGUUCUUGUUACAAAUUUACAUUCUGUUCAAAUAGAGCAAUCUGCUUUUCACACAUAGCGCUGAGUUGUGGUCAUAAGACAGAGCAAUGCCUGUUUGUACGGAGCCAAGCCAUUGUUCACUGCUCUAGAGAACAAGUCUGAAAUGUCUGAAUAUUGCUCAGCAAACUGAUUCUCAACUCUAAGUUUGUCCUGUUAAGUUGAAAAUGGAUCAACUCCAAAAGUUGAAUGUGUGGUCAGUGAGGAUCCCAGCUGUUGGCUGUAAAGGUCUGCUGCAUCAACUGAAUGAGGCAGCAGCUCCUGUGGGAUUUUAUUGGGACAUCCACAGCCAGCCAAAUCAUUUGGUACACCUUUACCUGUAAAAUAAAGAACAGACUGUUGGUCUUAACUUAUGAA